RNAcentral lists this ribosomal RNA (496 nucleotides) under uncultured bacterium. RNAcentral describes it as "partial 16S ribosomal RNA". It matches the Rfam family "Bacterial small subunit ribosomal RNA", at positions 28 to 506 of the family's 1533-position model. The record is from RNAcentral.
GAUGAACGCUGGCGGCGUGCCUAAUACAUGCAAGUCGAGCGAACAGACGAGGAGCUUGCUCCUCUGACGUUAGCGGCGGACGGGUGAGUAACACGUGGAUAACCUACCUAUAAGACUGGGAUAACUUCGGGAAACCGGAGCUAAUACCGGAUAAUCUAUUGAACCGCAUGGUUCAAUAGUGAAAGACGGUUUUGCUGUCACUUAUAGAUGGAUCCGCGCCGCAUUAGCUAGUUGGUAAGGUAACGGCUUACCAAGGCAACGAUGCGUAGCCGACCUGAGAGGGUGAUCGGCCACACUGGAACUGAGACACGGUCCAGACUCCUACGGGAGGCAGCAGUAGGGAAUCUUCCGCAAUGGGCGAAAGCCUGACGGAGCAACGCCGCGUGAGUGAUGAAGGUCUUCGGAUCGUAAAACUCUGUUAUUAGGGAAGAACAAAUGUGUAAGUAACUAUGCACGUCUGGACGGUACCUAAUCAGAAAGCCACGGCUAACUACGU